RNAcentral lists this ribosomal RNA (1895 nucleotides) under Listeria welshimeri. Its description in RNAcentral is "partial 23S ribosomal RNA". It matches the Rfam family "Bacterial large subunit ribosomal RNA", at positions 1035 to 2925 of the family's 2925-position model. Lineage: Bacteria; Bacillati; Bacillota; Bacilli; Caryophanales; Listeriaceae. The record is from RNAcentral.
CCAGUUAAGGUCCCCAAAUAUAUGUUAAGUGGAAAAGGAUGUGGGGUUGCUUAGACAACCAGGAUGUUGGCUUAGAAGCAGCCACCAUUGAAAGAGUGCGUAAUAGCUCACUGGUCGAGUGACCCCGCGCCGAAAAUGUACCGGGGCUAAACAUAUUACCGAAACUGUGGAUGAACCUCUUCGGAGGUUCGUGGUAGGAGAGCGUUCUAAGGGCGGUGAAGUCAGACCGGAAGGACUGGUGGAGCGCUUAGAAGUGAGAAUGCCGGUAUGAGUAGCGAAAGAAGGGUGAGAAUCCCUUCCACCGAAUAUCUAAGGUUUCCUGAGGAAGGCUCGUCCGCUCAGGGUUAGUCGGGACCUAAGCCGAGGCCGAUAGGCGUAGGCGAUGGACAACAGGUAGAGAUUCCUGUACCAGUGCUAAUUGUUUAACCGAUGGGGUGACACAGAAGGAUAGGGAAUCGCACGAAUGGAAAUGUGCGUCCAAGCAGUGAGUGUGAGAAGUAGGCAAAUCCGCUUCUCGCGAAGCAUGAGCUGUGAUGGGGAAGGAAAUAAAGUACGGAAGUUCCUGAUUUCACGCUGUCAAGAAAAGCCUCUAGGAAGAGUAGUACUGCCCGUACCGCAAACCGACACAGGUAGAUGAGGAGAGAAUCCUAAGGUGAGCGAGAGAACUCUCGUUAAGGAACUCGGCAAAAUGACCCCGUAACUUCGGGAGAAGGGGUGCUCUAUUAGGGUGCAAGCCCGAGAGAGCCGCAGUGAAUAGGCCCAGGCGACUGUUUAGCAAAAACACAGGUCUCUGCAAAACCGUAAGGUGACGUAUAGGGGCUGACGCCUGCCCGGUGCUGGAAGGUUAAGAGGAGUGCUUAGCUUCGGCGAAGGUACGAAUUGAAGCCCCAGUAAACGGCGGCCGUAACUAUAACGGUCCUAAGGUAGCGAAAUUCCUUGUCGGGUAAGUUCCGACCCGCACGAAAGGCGCAACGAUCUGGGCACUGUCUCAACGAGAGACUCGGUGAAAUUAUAGUACCUGUGAAGAUGCAGGUUACCCGCGACAGGACGGAAAGACCCCGUGGAGCUUUACUGCAACCUGAUAUGGAAUGUUUGUACCGCUUGUACAGGAUAGGUAGGAGCCGAAGAGACGUGUGCGCUAGCAUACGAGGAGGCAAUGGUGGGAUACUACCCUGGCUGUAUGACCAUUCUAACCCGCCACGCUUAGCGCGUGGGGAGACAGUGUCAGGUGGGCAGUUUGACUGGGGCGGUCGCCUCCUAAAGAGUAACGGAGGCGCCCAAAGGUUCCCUCAGAAUGGAUGGAAAUCAUUCGCAGAGUGUAAAGGCACAAGGGAGCUUGACUGCGAGACUGACAAGUCGAGCAGGGACGAAAGUCGGGCUUAGUGAUCCGGUGGUUCCGCAUGGAAGGGCCAUCGCUCAACGGAUAAAAGCUACCCCGGGGAUAACAGGCUUAUCUCCCCCAAGAGUCCACAUCGACGGGGAGGUUUGGCACCUCGAUGUCGGCUCGUCGCAUCCUGGGGCUGUAGUCGGUCCCAAGGGUUGGGCUGUUCGCCCAUUAAAGCGGCACGCGAGCUGGGUUCAGAACGUCGUGAGACAGUUCGGUCCCUAUCCGUCGCGGGCGCAGGAAAUUUGAGAGGAGCUGUCCUUAGUACGAGAGGACCGGGAUGGACACACCGCUGGUGUACCAGUUGUUCCGCCAGGAGCAUCGCUGGGUAGCUAUGUGUGGCAGGGAUAAACGCUGAAAGCAUCUAAGCGUGAAGCCCCCCUCAAGAUGAGAUUUCCCAUUUCUUCGGAAAGUAAGAUCCCUGAAAGAUGAUCAGGUAGAUAGGUUUGGAGUGGAAGUGUAGCGAUACAUGGAGCGGACAAAUACUAAUCGAUCGAGGACUUAACCAAAA